GUGUCAGCAGCCGCGGUAAUACGGAGGGUGCAAGCGUUAUCCGGAUUUACUGGGUUUAAAGGGUGCGUAGGUGGGUAAGUAAGUCAGUGGUGAAAUCUUCGAGCUUAACUCGGAAACUGCCAUUGAUACUAUUUAUCUUGAAUACUUUGGAGGUAAGCGGAAUAUGUCAUGUAGCGGUGAAAUGCUUAGAUAUGACAUAGAACACCAAUUGCGAAGGCAGCUUACUACACAGUUAUUGACACUGAGGCACGAAAGCGUGGGGAUCAAACAGGAUUAGAAACCCCCGUAGUCC
This 292-nucleotide ribosomal RNA is filed under the name uncultured bacterium. RNAcentral describes it as "partial 16S ribosomal RNA". It matches the Rfam family "Bacterial small subunit ribosomal RNA", at positions 505 to 796 of the family's 1533-position model. The record is from RNAcentral.